Xenopus laevis (African clawed frog) is the source of this 1005-nucleotide long non-coding RNA. RefSeq lists it as uncharacterized. The record is from RefSeq and is a predicted model, not a curated record. Lineage: Eukaryota; Metazoa; Chordata; Amphibia; Anura; Pipidae. The transcript has 2 exons.
UAUCUAUCUAUCAUAUUGCUGCUUUGGCACUGAGACAUUCCAGUUGGCUGCCUGAAAAAGUUUGUUCUGUCAGGGGCUUAUGAAUCCACAACCUUAUAACUGUCACCUGGUAAAACUAAUGGUCCCUAACUGUCAGCCUCUGACUCACAGCAUGAAUGACUUGCUUGCAGAAGGAAAAUGUUGAGGAUUAAUGCCCAUGGGAUCCCCUCUACAAGCAUUGAUGUAAAUGCUGAGGACAAGUAAUCUGAAACAGAGGAUGUGAGCUGGGGAGGCAGAGGGUCCUUCCUAGAUCCCCUUUGGCUGCAGGGCGCCCACAUUCGUGGGGUAUUUUUCCUUGAUAGUUAUGCCACCAGACUAUGAACAAACUUAGGGGACUGUUCCUGCUGAAUUGUGCUUAGUACAGGGGAAUACCUAUGCUGCCAUAGUUUGGUGUUUGUGGAUGGGCCCUUCAUUGAAACUAGGGAUGGAAAACAGUGAAAGAGAAAUAAUUACACCAUCUUGUUGUUAAUGAUUCUAAGAGACAACUACAAAUGGAAUAUAAAGACAGCGAGGUACUGUUGCCCUUUAAACCUGAGCGCAUCUCCUGUUGAGCAGGACCAGCAAGUGCAGGUGAAUGGAAUCCUAUUAGGGGAGCGCAUUAGCUGCAGGUUGUCAAGACAAACAAACAGCCAGACGGGCCCCCAGCCCCUGCACUCGGAUAAUCAAUACCAGUUCUCUGUUACCCCAACAACAACUCCCUUCAACUCCCCGCUGAAGACGUCUCUGCUUCCCUCGCGCGCUGCAGGAGGCUACACAAACAAACUCUGCCCAACGCCGCAGCCUCGAAAUCUAACGUUUGACAGUUUUUUGGAAUCGGCGUCCGGAUCUGAACCCUCGGCUGAAAGCUACAAAGGAAACUUUCUACAGUGGGGGUAGCGAGAUUAAAGGGGAAGGCAUCUCAAAUAUUCAAUUUUCCACAUAUUAUUAUGAUCAAUUUUCCUAUAUAAAUGAAAAAUUUUUCCAGUG